GCGCACCAGUCGCGAAUAGUCUACAAUGGACGAAAGUCUGAUAGUGCGACGCCGUGUGUGCGAUUAAUUCCUUCGGGAUGUAAAGCACUUUUCUAUGAGAUAAAAGCUCUUUAGGUUAAUAGCUUAUUGAGACGGAUAUUAUUAUAGGAAUAAGCUCCGGCUAACUCCGUGCCAGCAGCCGCGGUAAUACGGAAGGAGCGAGCGUUGUCCGGAUUUACUAGGCGUAAAGGGCUAGUAGGCGACUAAUUAAGUUAUAUGUUAAAUCCCACGGCUCAACUGUGGUCCUGCAUGUAAUACUGGUUAGAUAGAGUACUGUAGAGGAAGGCAGAAUUCCUGGAGUAGCGGUGGAAUGCGCAGAUAUCAGGAGAAUACCAAAAGCGAAGGCAGCCUUCUGGGCAGUUACUGACGCUGAAUAGCGAAGGUGUGGGUAGCGAACAGGAUUAGAUACCCGCGUAGU
Molecule: ribosomal RNA, 457 nt
Filed under: uncultured microorganism
Description: bacterial SSU rRNA
Rfam family: Bacterial small subunit ribosomal RNA
Source: RNAcentral